CGUAUCCAAAAAUUACUGAAGGGUUUAAAGUUGGGUUAUUAAUUAAUCUUACAUCUCCACCUCCUGGUGCCCAUGUAUCAUAAACACCACCAAAGAAAAGAGCUUUGAUAACUAAUAGAAAAGAUCCUAUGCCGAGAAGUAAUAAAUGAAUGCCCAGUAUAGUUGUCAUCUUAUUUUUAUCUCUCCA
RNAcentral lists this antisense RNA (187 nucleotides) under Chondrus crispus (carragheen). Its description in RNAcentral is "Antisense RNA which regulates isiA expression". It matches the Rfam family "Antisense RNA which regulates isiA expression". Lineage: Eukaryota; Rhodophyta; Florideophyceae; Gigartinales; Gigartinaceae. The record is from Rfam by way of RNAcentral.